UCUGGUGUCGCCCAACAGGCAGGGCCCGCGGCCGUUAACCGCGUGAUCGGGGUUCGAAUCCCUGCGCCAGAG
Molecule: transfer RNA, 72 nt
Filed under: Nocardiopsaceae bacterium
Lineage: Bacteria; Bacillati; Actinomycetota; Actinomycetes; Streptosporangiales; Nocardiopsidaceae
Description: tRNA-Asn
Rfam family: tRNA
About the family: Transfer RNA (tRNA) molecules are approximately 80 nucleotides in length. Their secondary structure includes four short double-helical elements and three loops (D, anti-codon, and T loops). Further hydrogen bonds mediate the characteristic L-shaped molecular structure. tRNAs have two regions of fundamental functional importance: the anti-codon, which is responsible for specific mRNA codon recognition, and the 3' end, to which the tRNAs corresponding amino acid is attached (by aminoacyl-tRNA synthetases). tRNAs cope with the degeneracy of the genetic code in two manners: having more than one tRNA (with a specific anti-codon) for a particular amino acid; and 'wobble' base-pairing, i.e. permitting non-standard base-pairing at the 3rd anti-codon position.
Source: RNAcentral